AGCGAACGCUGGCGGCAGGCCUAACACAUGCAAGUCGAACGGAUCCUUCGGGAUUAGUGGCGGACGGGUGAGUAACACGUGGGAACGUGCCUUUUGGUUCGGAACAACUCAGGGAAACUUGAGCUAAUACCGAAUGUGCCCUUCGGGGAAAGAUUUAUCGCCAUUAGAGCGGCCCGCGUCUGAUUAGCUUGUUGGUGAGGUAAAGGCUCACCAAGGCUACGAUCAGUAGCUGGUCUGAGAGGAUGAUCAGCCACAUUGGGACUGAGACACGGCCCAAACUCCUACGGGAGGCAGCAGUGGGGAAUCUUGCGCAAUGGGCGAAAGCCUGACGCAGCCAUGCCGCGUGAAUGAUGAAGGUCUUAGGAUUGUAAAAUUCUUUCACCGGGGACGAUAAUGACGGUACCCGGAGAAGAAGCCCCGGCUAACUUCGUGCCAGCAGCCGCGG
RNAcentral lists this ribosomal RNA (445 nucleotides) under uncultured bacterium. RNAcentral's name for it is "bacterial SSU rRNA". It matches the Rfam family "Bacterial small subunit ribosomal RNA", at positions 29 to 520 of the family's 1533-position model. The record is from RNAcentral.